AGGCUAUGGUUUCCUUUUGUUCCCCGCCUCUCCCGACCAGAUCAUCAUCAUGCGUCCCCUACGGUCGCUCUGGAUUCCAUCCAUGCUGAAAUUGAUUUAAAAGGAAGGGUUCUGUUCUCGGCGGAAUUGAUCAAGAAAGGUAUCGAUUGGCUGAUGUGUACAUGUGUGUACUAGCUUCUGGAUGUCAACUUGCUUCGUCGUCGCCGUUAAAUUAAUCAGACACCUACUUUUAGGCUGCUAAUGAUGUUAUCCAAUGAAGGCUGAUAUAGAGAAGUAACUAUACCAUCCAAUCUUUGAAACAGAUUGGACGUCCAUCAUAGUUGACAAGGCUGCCGAGCUAAGAACUGUGGCAGACUGGUGGUGGAGCCGUUUACUUGCUCGACACUGUUUGAUUUUGUUGUUUCGUCCACUU
Triticum aestivum (bread wheat) is the source of this 412-nucleotide long non-coding RNA. RefSeq lists it as uncharacterized. The transcript has 3 exons. The record is from RefSeq and is a predicted model, not a curated record. Lineage: Eukaryota; Viridiplantae; Streptophyta; Magnoliopsida; Poales; Poaceae.